CUACGGGAGGCAGCAGUGGGGAAUAUUGCACAAUGGGCGCAAGCCUGAUGCAGCCAUGCCGCGUGUAUGAAGAAGGCCUUCGGGUUGUAAAGUACUUUCAGCGGGGAGGAAGGGAGUAAAGUUAAUACCUUUGCUCAUUGACGUUACCCGCAGAAGAAGCACCGGCUAACUCCGUGCCAGCAGCCGCAGGUAAUACGGAGGGUGCAAGCGUUAAUCGGAAUUACUGGGCGUAAAGCGCACGCAGGCGGUUUGUUAAGUCAGAUGUGAAAUCCCCGGGCUCAACCUGGGAACUGCAUCUGAUACUGGCAAGCUGGAGUCUCGUAGAGGGGGGUAGAAUUCCAGGUGUAGCGGUGAAAUGCGUAGAGAUCUGGAGGAAUACCGGUGGCGAAGGCGGCCCCCUGGACGAAGACUGACGCUCAGGUGCGAAAGCGUGGGGAGCAAACAGGAUUAGAUACCCGCGUAGUC
RNAcentral lists this ribosomal RNA (465 nucleotides) under uncultured bacterium. RNAcentral's name for it is "partial 16S ribosomal RNA". It matches the Rfam family "Bacterial small subunit ribosomal RNA", at positions 339 to 795 of the family's 1533-position model. The record is from RNAcentral.